GGAAUAUUGGACAAUGGGGGGAACCCUGAUCCAGCCAUGCCGCGUGUGUGAAGAAGGCCUUUUGGUUGUAAAGCACUUUAAGCGAGGAGGAGGCUACUUUGGUUAAUACCCAGAGAUAGUGGACGUUACUCGCAGAAUAAGCACCGGCUAACUCUGUGCCAGCAGCCGCGGUAAUACAGAGGGUGCGAGCGUUAAUCGGAUUUACUGGGCGUAAAGCGUACGUAGGUGGUCUUUUAAGUCGGAUGUGAAAUCCCUGAGCUUAACUUAGGAAUUGCAUUCGAUACUGGGAGACUAGAGUAUGGGAGAGGAUGGUAGAAUUCCAGGUGUAGCGGUGAAAUGCGUAGAGAUCUGGAGGAAUACCGAUGGCGAAGGCAGCCAUCUGGCCUAAUACUGACACUGAGGUACGAAAGCAUGGGGAGCAAACAGGAUUAGAUACCCUUG
Molecule: ribosomal RNA, 441 nt
Filed under: uncultured Acinetobacter sp.
Lineage: Bacteria; Pseudomonadati; Pseudomonadota; Gammaproteobacteria; Moraxellales; Moraxellaceae
Description: bacterial SSU rRNA
Rfam family: Bacterial small subunit ribosomal RNA
Source: RNAcentral